AUGAACCACUCGUGCACGACGGUUCCUGCGCGCCGUCCGUGCCCGGCUGGAGACUAUUCACGUCCCUUCGUUAGCC
Molecule: small RNA, 76 nt
Filed under: Xanthomonas bonasiae
Lineage: Bacteria; Pseudomonadati; Pseudomonadota; Gammaproteobacteria; Lysobacterales; Lysobacteraceae
Description: sX9 sRNA
Rfam family: Xanthomonas sRNA sX9
Source: RNAcentral